CCCUUAGAUGUUCUGGGCCGCACGCGCGCUACACUGAUGCAUUCAACGAGUCUAAAAUCUGCUCUGAUAGGGGUGGGUAAUCUUUUGAAUGUGCAUCGUGAUUGGGAUAGAUGAUUGCAAUUUUUCAUCUUCAACGAGGAGUGCCUAGUAAACGCAAGUCAUCAGCUUGCAUUGAUUACGUCCCUGCCCUUUGUACACACCGCCCGUCGCUCCUACCGAUUGAAUGAUCCGAUGAAUAUCAUGGAUUGAGGAUGCAAGUAGGUUCGCCUAUCUUCAUCUUCGAGAAGUGAAGUAAAUCUUAUCAUUUAGAGGAAGGAGAAGUCGUAACA
Molecule: ribosomal RNA, 329 nt
Filed under: uncultured eukaryote
Lineage: Eukaryota
Description: partial 18S ribosomal RNA
Rfam family: Eukaryotic small subunit ribosomal RNA
Source: RNAcentral